CGAGGCCAGGUAGCAAUACCUGAGUCGAGCGGCGCACGGGUGAGUAACGCGUGGAUAACCUGCCUGAUGGUGGGGGAUAACCCGGGGAAACCCGGGCUAAUACCGCAUAACACCGAGAGGUCAAAGGGGGCCGCAAGGCUCUCGCCUGCAGAGGGGUCCGCGUCCGAUUAGCUAGUUGGUGAGGUAACGGCUCACCAAGGCUCCGAUCGGUAGGGGGUCUGAGAGGAUGAUCCCCCACACUGGUACUGAGACACGGACCAGACUCCUACGGGAGGCAGCAGUAAGGAAUAUUGGACAAUGGGCGCAAGCCUGAUCCAGCUAUGCCGCGUGAAGGAUGAAGGCCCUCUGGGUCGUAAACUUCUUUUAUACGGGAAAAAACCCCUCGAUGCGUUGAGGGUUGAUGGUACUGUAAGAAUAAGGGUCGGCUAACUUCGUGCCAGCAGCCGCGGUAAUACGAAGGACCCGAGCGUUAUCCGGAUUUAUUGGGUUUAAAGGGUGCGUAGGCGGAUUAGUAAGUCAGUGGUGAAAGCCCGUCGCUUAACGGCGGAAUUGCCAUUGAUACUGCUAGUCUUGAGUAUGGUUGAGGUGGACGGAAUGUGUCAUGUAGCGGUGAAAUGCUUAGAUAUGACACAGAACACCGAUUGCGAAGGCAGCUCGCUAAGCCAUAACUGACGCUGAGGCACGAAAGCGUGAGGAGCAAACAGGAUUAGAUACCCUGGUAGUCCACGCCCUAAACGAUGAUAACUCGUUGUUGGCGAUAUACAGUCAGCGACUAAGCGAAAGCAUUAAGUUAUCCACCUG
RNAcentral lists this ribosomal RNA (801 nucleotides) under uncultured bacterium. Its description in RNAcentral is "bacterial SSU rRNA". It matches the Rfam family "Bacterial small subunit ribosomal RNA", at positions 67 to 875 of the family's 1533-position model. The record is from RNAcentral.